GAUGAACGCUGGCGGCGUGCUUAAUACAUGCAAGUCGAGCGAACAGACGAGGCGCUUGCUCCUUUGACGUUAGCGGCGGACGGGUGAGUAACACGUGGAUAACCUCCCUAUAAUACGGGGAUAACCUCGGGACACCGGAUCUAACACCGGAUAAUAUCCUGCACCGCGUUGGGGAAUAGAAAAAGACGGCUUUUCGGGCACGUAUCGCGGCUUCCCCGCCGCAUUAGCUAGUUGUUGAGGUAACGGGUUACCAAGGCAACGAGGCGUAGCCGACCUAAGAGGCUGAUCGGCGACACUAGAACGGAGACACGGUCCAGACGCCUACGGGAGGGCGCAGUAGGGAAUCUUACGCAAUGGUCGAAAGCUUGACGGAGCAGCGCCGCGUGAGUGAUGAAGGCCUUCGGAUCGUGAAGCUCGGUUAUUGGGUGUGAACAACUGUGGAAGUAACUAUGGACGGAUUGACGGUACCGGAUCAGAAAGCCACGGCUAACUACGUG
This 497-nucleotide ribosomal RNA is filed under the name uncultured bacterium. Its description in RNAcentral is "partial 16S ribosomal RNA". It matches the Rfam family "Bacterial small subunit ribosomal RNA", at positions 28 to 507 of the family's 1533-position model. The record is from RNAcentral.